CUACCGAGAUGCAGCCGCGUCGAUCGACUCGUGGGCGGAUGGAUGAAGUUAUCCAGUGACGCCCGGCGUCACGGUUCUGCUCGUGCUCGUGGCUGGAUGGGAAAAACCGCCAGUCACACGAUCAGCGAGAUUAGCGAAGGUUUUCUCAUGCGGAGGUGGAGAUCGUUGCAUGAAAUUGCGGAACUUAUAGUCUGGGAGUUUGGGGCGUGAACAGAAACGGAGCAAUGUAAACAAAGGUGUUUCGUUUAAAAAUACGCUGUGCUUACGGGAAAUCGAUGCAACUCUGGCAAAGGCAGAUCGAAAACGCGAGACGUUGCCCGAUCGUAAGGCUUCAGAAUUUCAAUUCGAGACCCAGCAAGAUGGCUCCUUUGGUAGAAUGCGAUUCACGCCGCCGUGAAGAAAAAGAUUUCUCCGGGUCCUGUCCGAAAAUCCGUACUUUAUAUCCAUGAGGUACUCGCGGUCAACUCGACGUGGGAUCGACUAAAGCGCAUAAAUAAGGCGCGUGCGAGCGAACUAGCAUUUUCGACGAGCCAAGUCACAGGCGGGUGUCGAACAAGCGUGGUUACCAAGGAUUCUGCCUACCGGCUCUCUUCCGACUAUCCGGUUCUCGUGCGAUGGCGUGGCAAGCUUGUCUCCGCAGGCAUGAAGAAUCGGCCGAAACACCGCGGGUAGCGAACGAGCCUUGAUACGUAGCAUUCAUAAAUCUGCAGGUUUUUCAGCUUUUCCUGAACAGCGGCGACCUUGCCUGCCGCUCCC
Molecule: unclassified non-coding RNA, 756 nt
Filed under: Bombus terrestris (buff-tailed bumblebee)
Lineage: Eukaryota; Metazoa; Arthropoda; Insecta; Hymenoptera; Apidae
Description: misc RNA ENSBTSG00005038027.1
Source: RNAcentral